This 564-nucleotide ribosomal RNA is filed under the name Pichia kudriavzevii. Its description in RNAcentral is "partial large subunit ribosomal RNA". It matches the Rfam family "Eukaryotic large subunit ribosomal RNA", at positions 62 to 648 of the family's 3401-position model. The record is from RNAcentral. Lineage: Eukaryota; Fungi; Ascomycota; Pichiomycetes; Pichiales; Pichiaceae.
AAACCAACAGGGAUUGCCUCAGUAGCGGCGAGUGAAGCGGCAAGAGCUCAGAUUUGAAAUCGUGCUUUGCGGCACGAGUUGUAGAUUGCAGGUUGGAGUCUGUGUGGAAGGCGGUGUCCAAGUCCCUUGGAACAGGGCGCCCAGGAGGGUGAGAGCCCCGUGGGAUGCCGGCGGAAGCAGUGAGGCCCUUCUGACGAGUCGAGUUGUUUGGGAAUGCAGCUCCAAGCGGGUGGUAAAUUCCAUCUAAGGCUAAAUACUGGCGAGAGACCGAUAGCGAACAAGUACUGUGAAGGAAAGAAGAAAAGCACUUUGAAAAGAGAGUGAAACAGCACGUGAAAUUGUUGAAAGGGAAGGGUAUUGCGCCCGACAUGGGGAUUGCGCACCGCUGCCUCUCGUGGGCGGCGCUCUGGGCUUUCCCUGGGCCAGCAUCGGUUCUUGCUGCAGGAGAAGGGGUUCUGGAACGUGGCUCUUCGGAGUGUUAUAGCCAGGGCCAGAUGCUGCGUGCGGGGACCGAGGACUGCGGCCGUGUAGGUCACGGAUGCUGGCAGAACGGCGCAACACCGC